Molecule: ribosomal RNA, 377 nt
Filed under: uncultured organism
Description: partial 16S ribosomal RNA
Rfam family: Bacterial small subunit ribosomal RNA
Source: RNAcentral
GUAGGUGGCAAGCGUUGUCCGGAAUUAUUGGGGCGUAAAGCGCGCGCAGGCGGUUCUUUAAGUCUGAUGUGAAAGCCCACGGGCUCAACCGUGGAGGGUCAUUGGAAACUGGAGAACUUGAGUACAGAAGAGGAAAGCGGAAUUCCACGUGUAGCGGUGAAAUGCGUAGAGAUGUGGAGGAACACCAGUGGCGAAGGCGGCUUUCUGGUCUGUAACUGACGCUGAGGCGCGAAAGCGUGGGGAGCAAACAGGAUUAGAUACCCUGGUAGUCCACGCCGUAAACGAUGAGUGCUAAGUGUUAGGGGGGUUUCCGCCCCUUAGUGCUGCAGCUAACGCAUUAAGCACUCCGCCUGGGGGAGUACGGCCGCAAAGGCUGA